GCGGUACCUAUUGAUCUACUCACAUUGGCAUGUUUUCAAGCUGCUAGGUUGGCAGAAGCUGGAGCUAACAGCAGGCACUCACUCUGCUCCCGGGAUUUGAACCUGGGACCUUUCGGUCUGCAAGUUCAGCAGCUCAGUGCUUUAACACACUUCACCAUCGGGGCUCAUAUAUAUAUAAUAUACAUACACAUACACACAAUGUGGAGAAUAUGUGGAAAGGUAGAUAGAUAGAUAAGUUGGGAGCCACAGCGAAGGCACCUUCCUGGGAGCAAGGUCUAAUAAUAAUAAUAAUAAUAAUAAUAAUAAUAAUAAUAAUAAAAUCCCUUACAAAAUCCAAGAUGGGUACCAUUAUUGGCAGAGAAAGCCAAGCUGUAGGAGUUGAAAUCCAAUCAUUUAUCCUCCCUAUAGAAUCAAUUUUAUAUGCAUUUUUAGCUACAGAAAAGCUAAAAUCAGGACAGUAAAAGAACAACACCCAGAAAAUGGGAAUUCCAGACAGGAAACAAUCAGGGCCAGCUAAUACCUCCCAGCAAAGGAUUCCCCCAGGUAGGAAGCAGCCAGGCUUUGAAGCUGCAAGGCUAUUCAAUGCUAAUCAAGGUGACCAAUUGCAACAUUCACACUUGCCUCCCACAGACAAGAGUUCUUUCUCCCACCUUGGACCUUCCACAGAUAUAUAAACCCCACUUGCCUAGCUUCGCACAGACGUCAAAACCUCACCGCCGGGCCCCUCUCUGUCUCUCUCGGUCUCUCCAUUCCCGGCUCCAUCCGCCGCCUUCCCGCCUCACAGAGAGACACCAGGCCUGAGCUGAGGCGAGGCGGCGGCGGCGGCGGCCAUUUCCCCCCUCCGUCUUCCUCCUCGGCCUCCUUCCCCCUCGCCCCCUCCCAUUGGCUGAGCCCGUGACGCCCCUUUUGCUGAGGGGCAAAAGGAAAGGGCCUGAAUGGUGGGAGUUUGGGUGAUUUGCAAAAGCUUUUUUUUCCUAACGAAAAAAACGACGACAUAACGAAAAACGGCCUCUCGCGAUUUGAAACCGCGAUAUCCAGACGUGUGGACAACCAAUGCUUCAAAAUUGCUUCAAAACAAACGAAAAUAACGAAUUAAUAACGGUUAACGGGGAAAACGAAUUAUUUGAGCAAGCCUACUCUAUACUCUGAGAGGCCUAUUUCUGUGGCCCUUACAAGUCACAUCUCUUUUUAUGUUUGGAACCUUUAUAGUGUUUGCUUAUCUCUUCGACAAACUCCUGACAGAUGGCCAGCCAAUAUCUCCACAAUCUCCACUAUAAAAUAAUAGAAUCCUACAGUCACAUAGAGACCCCUAAAGGCCAUCCAGUAUAAACUCCUUCUACCAUGCAAGACCACACAAUCCAAACACUCCUGACAGAUGGCCAUCCAUAUCUCCACAAUCUCCACCAUAAAAAUAAUAAUAAAAUCCUACAGUCACAGAGUUAGGAGAGACCCCUAAAGCCCAUCCAGUCCAACCCCUUCCUGCCAUGGAGAACACAUUCCCAACAAAUUGUCAGAGUAAAUCGCAGCGUAGCAGCAGUUGUAUGUUGUCAAUGGAGCGCAGAAAAGAAGAGACAUCAGAAACGAUGGUAAAAAAUAUAUACAAAGCUUUACUUUACAAGACAAAUAGACUUUGAGACGAACACAGGCUUGGCUUUCACUCUAGGCAGACACAAACUCAGAACAGAGCAAGAUCUCAAUUGACGCAAUCAGUAAUGUACAAACACUUGAGUCUGGAUACUCCCAAGGUUCCAGCCACACAAGGUCAACACAGCUUCUCAGUCAUUAACUCUUUAGAGACUAUAGCAUACUCUGGAUGAUGCAACCUGUAUGCAAUACAUGCCAGACACAAAUUUCAUUUAAACACUACUAAUACACAAAUCCCACAUUAACACAAAUGGCCAUACAGCCUCUUCAUAAUAAUAAUACUAAUAACAAUAUCAUGGAAUCCUCAUGUUUCCACACAGCCCUAAUAAUCAUCCAGACAGGGGGAAACUAACUGCGAAUGAGGUUCUGGACCUGCUGGAACUUCUCCUGCCUCCCUCCUUGGAAUGCUUCUUCCGCGAUCCGGCAGCAAAUGACGGCGAUCCAGUUGCAGACCCUCUCUGUUGGGAUCAAGGAGGGGUCCCGGGACGCCACCAUGCAUAUGGCUGUCGAAGAAUCACUAGAAGUAUAAUAAACACAUAACAGUAAAUAUUAAAAUAGGAUAGGAUAAUUAAUCUUACAAUAAAUACAUGACCUAAAAUAUAAAAGCAUUAAAAUACAAAUGUAAUAAAUACAGAACCAUCUCUAUAUAUAAAAGGGUAGUGACGUUUUGGCCAAGGACAAAACAACAAAACUACACAUCCCAGAAACACUAAACUUGGCAGUACAACCCCUCACCCAUGCCUCUAUGUUCAUACAACAAACAGUUCCCGCUACUCCAGGCUUUGCGGCUGCAAGGCUAUUCACUGCUAUUCCACCUGGCCAACAAAGGAUUCCCAUCAGCCACAGCAACGCGUGGCCGGGCAAAGCUAGUCUUCUUAUAUUCUGCCAGAAUUGUUUUGAUUCUGAAGUACUUCCAGACAUAUAAGUUCAUCUGGUGGUUGUUGUAAAGGUGGCAGUUUUCCACUCUUACAGCACAACCUCGGUGUCACGCUUACUUCAAACGACCAGCAUGAACACAGACCAAAGGUAACUGCUAUCAAAACCAAUCUUUAUUGAAGAACACACGACUUGGAAAAGUCGAGAAUGACAUAAUGUUUACAUACAAUCAUCUAUUACCUUCGCUACAACGUCACCCCACACGUAAAUAUCAUCACCCAAGCCCCACCCCAUGUAUCAUUUUCACCACCACAACACAAACUACUCAUUAAAAUUGUUUUGAUUCUCACUCCAAAAUUUCCCAUGCUUUGCUGCCAGGUGUCCGUAGGAGCUAUAGAGGAGUGCGAAUUGUUAUGGCUCCGAUUCAAGAGCUUGCAGACUCAGCUCUUGGAAUCGGUCCCAUGACACUCGGUGGCUCCAUUUUAAAUUUCUUGGCAUGACAAUACAUACAUAUUUGGUCCAUGUGUCCAAUAAUAACAGUUGGAUAUUGAUCCUAGUCCUUAUGAGGAUCAUAGUGAAAACCUUCAAGCAACAAAUUUGUGUGUUUCCUUGUUGUGAUGACUUUUUCCCUGGUUUCUUGAAGUUGGGCAUUAUCCUGUUCUGGAGUGUCUGCUGCUCUUGACAUAGUCUGGCCUGACAUUGUUUUGAAAUCUCUGCUGAUCUGGAUGCUCUGGCAUUUGCUCGCUUUUGUUGAAGUCUGGCUUGUUGCUGUUCUGGAGUCUUAUGUUGCUCCAAGUCUGUCCUGAUGCUAUUGUGGAAUUUCUGCAAUCUUUAAUGCAUUAGUUGUUUCCUGUUUAUUAUCAAGUCAGCAAUCAAUUGACUCCAUUGCUUGCAAGUAUUUUCCCUUUUUUGCUUGUGGUGGGAUUUUUCCUUUGGUAGAUUUCCUUUUUUGAGACAUUUUGAAGUUACCACACCUGAUAAAAGAAAAAUAAUAGGAUUAAGAUUUUUUGUAUUUAGGGUUCAGGGAAUAAGUUAGAACAGUGGACAUUACAGAAAAUGUCCCUAAUAAUUUUUGUUUCUGUUGCUUUUUGGUGAGGGUCAGGGCUGUUCCGAAAUGAUCCUGGAUGAAACUGCCCUUUUUGGAACUACGUUGAAGGAGGAGGCUAAGCAGUUGUGCAGCGUAACCGGCCCAAUACAGUCUGCAGGAAGGGUCAAUGGGGGCUGGGGGGGGGGGUAGAACUUUUCAUAAAUACACACAGUGUGCACACACAUACACAGACAUUCAAAGCAAAUAUCUGACAUAUAGAUACCAUCUCUUGGACAUUUCCAUAUAUGUUUGUGUAUAUUCAUUUAUAUUAUUUUUUCCUGGUCACAGACAUACCUUCAAUUUGCUAUUUUUUAAUGAAAAGAAAUGGAAAGUACUCAAAGCAGGAGGGGAUAGUCUGCCAAACCUCUUAUUGCUUAAAAGGAAUCAUUAAAAAGAUAAUAAUUAUCCCCUUUGUCUUUUGAAUAAAGUAUGACCUUACCUUGUGUAGGAACAGUGCUGUUUCCAAAUUAUCCUGUAAGAAGUCACCUUGUUUGGAAUAAUGUUGAAUUCAGAAGAGGGGAGGCUGUUGUGUGGCGUAACAGUCUUGGGACAGCUUGGAAGACCUGAAAGUGUAAAAGGGUGAACUACAACUCCCAGAGCAAGAAGUGAGUGAAGCUACUUGGUUCAUCCUCCCCCAAUCUGCUCUAGGAUGGAAAGGGGUUCGUGGUAGUUCUGUGUACCAAGUUUGAUAAAGUUCCGUCACUGGAGGGCUUCGGAGUGGUUUGUGGGAAUCGUAGCGAUUGAAAGUACAGUAGAGUCUCACUUAUCCAACAUAAUGUUGGAUAAGCGAAUAUGUUGGAUAAUAAGGAGGCAUUAAGGAUAAGGCUAUCAAACAUCAAAUUAUUUUAUGAUUUUACAAAUUAAGCACCAAAACAUCAUGUUAUACAACAAAUUUGACAGAAAAAGUAGUUCAAUACGCAGUAAUGUUAGGUUGUAAUUACUGUAUUUACGAGUUUAGCACCAAAAUAUCACGAUAUAUUGAAAACAUUGACUACAAAAAUGCCUUGGAUUAACCAGAGGCUUGGAUAAGCGAGGCUUGGAUAAGUGAGACUCUACUGUAUUAAGAGGGCAGAAUGGAGAGAGACAGAAAGGACGGGCUUCUGUUUCGCUGACGGACUAGCGGCUCUAGUUUUCCUCCCAGCUGUACGCAAGGCCAUCGUCCGGCGUCUUGGACGAAGGAAGGCUCUUCCCCCCGGAUCACAACGUUCACUUCAUUGGAGUCGCGCUGUCUCGCCUGAUUGUAAAAUGUGGGAGUUGGAGGGAGGGAGCAGCUGGGAAUAGCAGCAGUGCUCCCGUUGUAUGUUCCUCCGCAGCUGGGCAAUAGAAGGUUGCCCAAACUUGGUGGCCAGGGCCCACACGGGGAGGGUGUUUGGGGGCACUCGGUCCGCAAAUUUCAGAAGCAGCGUCACCUGGCUGGUCCUGGUCCAGGGUGAGUGAGGGCCCUCCUUCCCUCGGUUGGGGUCUUGCUGGGCGCCUCCCUCCUUGCCACGUCCCGGCUCCGCUCCCGGAGGAACGUGCUUGUAAAGCAGCAGAACUGCUGGCCAAAGACUUGAAAGUGAGCAUCCAACCUAUGUCUCUUGCCUCCGCAAUUUUUAUUACUACCCCGCCCUUCUCACCCGUCAAGGGACGCAGGGCGGCUUACAAUCUAUAUAUAUAAAAGGGUAAUGAAAUUUCGGCCUAGGACAAAACAACAAAACUACACAUCCCAGAAACACUAAACUUGGCAGCACAACCCCUCAUCCAUGCCUCUACAUUCAUACAACAAAAGAAAAGAAAAAUAAAGUCCUAAUUAGAGGGAGAAGAUUGUUUUUAUCCAAUUGCUGCCAGUUAGAAGGCUAAGCUCCUCCCACUUGGUCUCCUCGCAACCCUCUCAGCCCAGGAGACAGGCAGAGUUAGGCCUCACUUAGGCCUCUUCCACACUGCCUAUAAAAUACAGAUUAUCUGAUUUUAACUGGAUUAUAUGGGAGUGUAGACUCAAGGCCCUUCCACACAGCUAUAUAACCCAUUUAUAAUGGACUUAAUGUCAGGGGAAAACCUUAACCCUUUACCUUAACUACCACCAAUUCCUCAAUACUUUAUUUCCCGUACCACCAUACUUCGCCACAGUAACGCGUGGCCGGGCACAGCUAGAUUAAACAUAUAUAUAAAAUCCAUCGAGAUUAAAAAUUACAAUAAAAUUAAGAGUAUACAUUAAAAUAUACAUAAUUAUACAUUAAAAUAUACAUUUAAGGCAAUUUCCAUGUCCAGGUGUGGUCUGUCAGUAGGUCAUAUAUUCCUAUCUCAUUUUUGCUGCUACUUAUGCUCAAAUGCCUGGUCCCAUAACUACGUUUUAGUUCUCUUCGGAAAGACAGGAGGAAGGGAGCCUGCCUGACUUCAAUGGGGAAGGGCGUUCCAUAGACGGGGAGCCACUACUGAAAAUGCCCUGUCUCAACCAUUAGAGAAAGAUAGAUCCAUUUCGCCAGAGAUGUGGAAGUCAAACCACCGAUUUUUUAAACUUGUUUUGUGAUUUAAUGUAUUUGUUAUUCUUGUUGGGUUUUUUUUUCUUUUUUCUCUCUUUUUUUUCUUCUUUUUUUUUCUCUUUUCUUCUUUUCCCCUUGUAUGUUUUCCUUUCCCUAGUAUAGCUGUGUGCACAAUGCCCUGUCUCAUCCCCGCCAGAUGCACCUGUGAGGCUGACGGGGACCGCGAGCAGGGCCUCACCUGAUGAUCUUAAGCUUCGAGAUGGGUCACAGCGGGAAACACGUUCGGACAGAGAAGCGUAAGGAAAUUAAAGAACCAAACUCCUUCAUGAAAGAGAAAGAAUAAGAAAGAAGAAACUGAGGAGGGGGCGUCACCCCCCCAUGCUUCCAGAGACCCUCUUUUUCUGCCACUCCAUCCAUUGCCCAACCCUCACUUCCUCUUGGUUGAUGGCUUCCCGAUGUUGCACUUGUUCACCUGCAAAGUGCAAUGAGAAUGAAAGAGGUGGGGGCUGCCCUCCAGGAACCCUACAGAGAUGCCUUCUUCCAAGACCCCAGGACCUCUGUCUUGAGCCCUCCCCCCUUCCAGCCAAUGGGGCAGGCAGUGCCUUAAACGAAAAUGGGUUCCCUGGAACUACAAAGACAAGUAUCCACUAUUACAGUAAUACAGAAAUCAUUAAACCUAGAUUUAGUUCAAUACAUCAAUAUGAAAACAGAUACAAAAGGCAUUCUGUUAUAUUCACAGUAGAAACAAUAUUUUUCUCUUGAAGGAUUAAUUUACUCUUCUCAUAAACAGUAAAUGUUCUGUAGUUGUUUGAUCGUUCCACAUACACAAAUUGAGUCCUCUUGUAUAUAAUGA
Long non-coding RNA from Anolis carolinensis (green anole), 6919 nucleotides. RefSeq lists it as uncharacterized. Lineage: Eukaryota; Metazoa; Chordata; Lepidosauria; Squamata; Anolidae. The transcript is spliced from 2 exons. The record is from RefSeq and is a predicted model, not a curated record.